Non-coding RNA from Picea glauca (white spruce), 371 nucleotides. Lineage: Eukaryota; Viridiplantae; Streptophyta; Pinopsida; Pinales; Pinaceae. The record is from Rfam.
UAAUAAUCACCUAACCUAGACCUUGAAUCUACACCCCCUAACCUUAUAAAUCAUCUACCCAUAACACAUAACCCUUCUAAAGACACAAUGUGAUUUAUUCUCAUUGCUUUGCAUGUCAAAGUGAAGAAAUUCAACCAAUAACGGGUAAAUGGAGGGAUUAACUAUGACUCUCUUAAGAUAUCUAGAUGCCUCAUCAUCUAAUUAGUGAUGCACAUGAAUAUAUAAUUAAUGAGAUUCCCCACUGUCCCUAGCUACUAUAUUCUAGAUAAACCACAUCCAAGGGAAUGGGCUUGGUAUAAUUAGCGGGGAAAUAAGACCCUCUUGAGCUUGACUCUAGUUCUAACCCAUUCAUAGUUUGGGAAAAUUAGGGU